AACGGCAGCACGGAGCUUGCUCUGGUGGCGAGUGGCGAACGGGUGAGUAAUAUAUCGGAACGUACCCUAGAGUGGGGGAUAACGUAGCGAAAGUUACGCUAAUACCGCAUACGAUCUAAGGAUGAAAGUGGGGGAUCGCAAGACCUCAUGCUCGUGGAGCGGCCGAUAUCUGAUUAGCUAGUUGGUAGGGUAAAAGCCUACCAAGGCAUCGAUCAGUAGCUGGUCUGAGAGGACGACCAGCCACACUGGAACUGAGACACGGUCCAGACUCCUACGGGAGGCAGCAGUGGGGAAUUUUGGACAAUGGGCGAAAGCCUGAUCCAGCAAUGCCGCGUGAGUGAAGAAGGCCUUCGGGUUGUAAAGCUCUUUUGUCAGGGAAGAAACGGUGAGAGCUAAUAUCUUUUGCUAAUGACGGUACCUGAAGAAUAAGCACCGGCUAACUACGUGCCAGCAGCCGCGGUAAUACGUAGGGUGCAAGCGUUAAUCGGAAUUACUGGGCGUAAAGCGUGCGCAGGCGGUUUUGUAAGUCUGAUGUGAAAUCCCCGGGCUCAACCUGGGAAUUGCAUUGGAGACUGCAAGGCUAGAAUCUGGCAGAGGGGGGGUAGAAUUCCACGUGUAGCAGUGAAAUGCGUAGAUAUGUGGGAGGAACACCGAUGGCGAAGGCAGCCCCCUGGGUCAAGAUUGACGCUCAUGCACGAAAGCGUGGGGAGCAAACAGGAUUAGAUACCCUGGUAGUCCACGCCCUAAACGAUGUCUACUAGUUGUCGGGUCUUAAUUGACUUGGUAACGCAGCUAACGCGUGAAGUAGACCGCCUGGGGGAGUACGGUCGCAAGAUUAAAACUCAAAGGAAUUGACGGGGACCCGCACAAGCGGUGG
Molecule: ribosomal RNA, 877 nt
Filed under: uncultured bacterium
Lineage: Bacteria
Description: bacterial SSU rRNA
Rfam family: Bacterial small subunit ribosomal RNA
Source: RNAcentral